This 418-nucleotide unclassified non-coding RNA is filed under the name Hevea brasiliensis (rubber tree). Lineage: Eukaryota; Viridiplantae; Streptophyta; Magnoliopsida; Malpighiales; Euphorbiaceae. The record is from RNAcentral.
CUGUAUUUUCUAAUAUUCCUUAGUUGAACCUAUGAUAAUUCAGCAUUAAAGCUUUGGUGCUUGGUAAGAUUAUUUCUAAAAUCCCUUUUAGUCAAACUUGAAUUCAGUCGAGUAUCACAGUUGCAACAGUUCUGUAUUGGUGGUAAGUGUAAUUAGUCAUGCAUAGUGCAUCUACCAUUCAGUAUCUAUAUGAAAGGGAGAAUGCUGAGCAUCUACCUGUUGUGUUGUAUCACUGGUGGAGUUUGCAAUUAAGAGCACGGGUACCACUGCCUAUUUACUGGUAAAGGCACGGGUUUGUUCUACUGAUCCUUUGAUAACUCUGCUUUACUUGUAGUUUGGUUUAGAAAUCAUCGUCGGAUGGGGGGAUCUUCCGUUUCUAGGUAUUGAUUUUAGUAUUAAGAUUCUUCAUGUUAAGAGA